GAUGAAGAACGUAGUGAAAUGCGAUACGUAAUGUGAAUUGCAGAAUUCAGUGAAUCAUCGAGUCUUUGAACGCACAUUGCGCCCCCUGGUAGUCCGGGGGGCAUGCCUGUCCGAGCGUCAUUGCUGCCCUCAAGCACGGCUUGUGUGUUGGGCCUCCGUCCUCCUCCCGGGGGACGGGCCCGAAAGGCAGCGGCGGCACCGCGUCCGGUCCUCGAGCGUAUGGGGCUUCGUCACCCGCUCUUGUAGGCCCGGCCGGCGCUUGCCGACACAUCAAUCUUUUUUCCAGGUUGACCUCGGAUCAGGUAGGGAUACCCGCUGAACUUAAGCAUAUCAAUAAGCGGAGGA
This 345-nucleotide unclassified non-coding RNA is filed under the name soil metagenome. Its description in RNAcentral is "partial contains 5.8S ribosomal RNA, internal transcribed spacer 2, and large subunit ribosomal RNA". The stretch from base 1 to 120 matches the Rfam family "5.8S ribosomal RNA", at positions 35 to 154 of the family's 154-position model. The record is from RNAcentral.